This 349-nucleotide ribosomal RNA is filed under the name uncultured bacterium. Its description in RNAcentral is "bacterial SSU rRNA". It matches the Rfam family "Bacterial small subunit ribosomal RNA", at positions 917 to 1267 of the family's 1533-position model. The record is from RNAcentral.
GGGCCCGCACAAGCGGUGGAGCAUGUGGUUUAAUUCGAUGCAACGCGAAGAACCUUACCUACUCUUGACAUCCAGAGAAGCCAGCGGAGACGCAGGUGUGCCUUCGGGAACUCUGAGACAGGUGCUGCAUGGCUGUCGUCAGCUCGUGUUGUGAAAUGUUGGUUAAGUCCCGCAACGAGCGCAACCCUUAUCCUUGUUUGCCAGCACGUAAUGGUGGGAACUCCAGGGAGACUGCCGGUGAUAAACCGGAGGAAGGUGGGGACGACGUCAAAUCAUCACGGCCCUUACGUUCUGGCUACACACGUGCUACAAUGGUCGGUACAGAAAGCAGCCACUAUGCGAAUAGGAG